GAUGAACGCUGGCGGCGUGCCUAAUACAUGCAAGUCGAGCGAACAGACGAGGAGCUUGCUCCUCUGACGUUAGCGGCGGACGGGUGAGUAACACGUGGAUAACCUACCUAUAAGACUGGGAUAACUUCGGGAAACCGGAGCUAAUACCGGAUAAUAUAUUGAACCGCAUGGUUCAAUGGUGAAAGACGGUUUUGCUGUCACUUAUAGAUGGAUCCGCGCCGCAUUAGCUAGUUGGUAAGGUAACGGCUUACCAAGGCAACGAUGCGUAGCCGACCUGAGAGGGUGAUCGGCCACACUGGAACUGAGACACGGUCCAGACUCCUACGGGAGGCAGCAGUAGGGAAUCUUCCGCAAAGGGCGAAAGCUUGACGGAGCAACGCCGCGUGAGUGAUGAAGGUCUUCGGAUCGUAAAACUCUGUUAUUAGGGAAGAACAAAUGUGUAAGUAACUAUGCACGUCUUGACGGUACCUAAUCAGAAAGCCACGGCUAACUACGUG
RNAcentral lists this ribosomal RNA (497 nucleotides) under uncultured bacterium. RNAcentral's name for it is "partial 16S ribosomal RNA". It matches the Rfam family "Bacterial small subunit ribosomal RNA", at positions 28 to 507 of the family's 1533-position model. The record is from RNAcentral.